GUCCACGCCCUAAACGGUGGGCACUAGGUGUAGGGCUCGUAAGGGUUCUGUGCCGUAGGGAAACCAUUAAGUGCCCCGCCUGUGGAGUACGGCCGCAAGGUUGAAACUCAAAGGAAUUGACGGGGGCCCGCACAAGCGGUGGAGCAUGUGGUUUAAUUCGACGCAACGCGAAGAACCUUACCUGGGCUUGACAUGUUAGUGGUAGGAAACUGAAAGGGGCCCGACCCGUAGCAAUACGGGAGCUAAUACAGGUGCUGCAUGGCUGUCGU
This 269-nucleotide ribosomal RNA is filed under the name uncultured bacterium. RNAcentral describes it as "partial 16S ribosomal RNA". It matches the Rfam family "Bacterial small subunit ribosomal RNA", at positions 793 to 1055 of the family's 1533-position model. The record is from RNAcentral.